Long non-coding RNA from Mastomys coucha (southern multimammate mouse), 861 nucleotides. RefSeq lists it as uncharacterized. The record is from RefSeq and is a predicted model, not a curated record. The transcript is spliced from 3 exons. Lineage: Eukaryota; Metazoa; Chordata; Mammalia; Rodentia; Muridae.
AGGCGGGGUGAAAUUAGGACUCCGCCCCCUUUACCCAGGCCCGCUGCAAGCGGGCUGCGGGCGCCACCGUUGGAGCGUGCUGGCCUGGGAGCAGGAGCCUAUGCACCGCGCGGAGCAAACUUAAGAGGGACCCUUGCUACCUACCCGACUCAGACCCUAGAGGCCCUGGCAUCCCUGUGGAGGCCUCCUGAGAGGCGGCUUGGAGCUGGCAUCCGCCACCGAUGGGGCCGGGAGUGUUUUACUUCCUUAAGGUCUCUACAGCAGAACCCUGUGUGAUGCUCACCAGGGGCGCUCUGGUUGUGCCAAGGGUCCGGGCAAGGUCUCCCGGUUGCAUUUAGGGUCUUGCCUCUGGGGGGUCUGCUCCCAGAGGCGCGCCUGAGCCUGUCAGCCCUUGCUCACACUACACGGAAGCUGCACGGUUGCUCGCGGCCGGCUGGUGGCGGGGCGGGCAGGCACUAAUUAAGCACGUUGGCAACGGAGGGAGCUCUCACCCUGGCUCUGCGCAGCGCGAGGACUCCUGGGCGCGCGUUUCCCCUUUGCGGACUGCUGGAUGGAGCUGAGUCCCUCAAGAUAUUUCCCCGGUUCUCGACAAUGGAUCGUUUCGUGGCGAAGGCAGAUCCUGUCAAGCGCGCGGGGCUUCCUUGGGUUCCCCUGCCUGAUCUUCAAAUUCCAUGGUCUAGACGUCCUUCCGGAACUGCUGACAGCACCGGGCCAAGGAGCAAAGGAGGGCAUUGUUACAUAGGCCAUUAAAAAUCAGUUCACCCGGAGGAGCUCUGGUUGGGGAGUUGGCCCCUGUUGGACGUGUGUUAUGUAUCACAAGCACAUUUAAUUGGGAGAUAAAGAUAAAUCGAUCUUUAUGAA